GACGAACGCUGGCGGCGUGCUUAACACAUGCAAGUCGAGCGAGCGGCGAACGGGUGAGUAACGCGUGGUAACCUGCCCCCCUCCCUGGGAUAACUACUGGAAACGGUAGCUAAUACCGCAUACCGUCGGCUGUGCCCAGAUGGGAUUAGUUAGUAGGUGGGGUAACGGCCCACCUCGGCGACGAUCCCUAGCUGGUCUGCAAGGAUGACCAGCCACACUGGACCUGAGAAACGGUCCAAACUCCUACGGGAGGCAGCAGUGGGGAAUAUUGCACAAUGGGCGAAAGCCUGAUGCAGCCAGGCGGCGUGUAUGAAGAAGGCCUUCGGGUUUUAAAGUAGGUUCAGCGAGGAGGCGUUACUCGCAGAGGAAGCACCGGCUAACUCCGUGCCAGCAGCCGCGGUAAUUC
RNAcentral lists this ribosomal RNA (406 nucleotides) under uncultured bacterium. Its description in RNAcentral is "partial 16S ribosomal RNA". It matches the Rfam family "Bacterial small subunit ribosomal RNA", at positions 28 to 526 of the family's 1533-position model. The record is from RNAcentral.